CAUCACGUCAUUGCCUUAGUAGCGGCGAGUGAAGCGGCAAAAGCUCAAAUUUGAAAUCUGGCUCUUUCAGAGUCCGAGUUGUAAUUUGAAGAAGGUAUCUUUGGGUCUGGCUCUUGUCUAUGUUUCUUGGAACAGAACGUCACAGAGGGUGAGAAUCCCGUGCGAUGAGAUGAUCCAGGCCUAUGUAAAGUUCCUUCGAAGAGUCGAGUUGUUUGGGAAUGCAGCUCUAAGUGGGUGGUAAAUUCCAUCUAAAGCUAAAUAUUGGCGAGAGACCGAUAGCGAACAAGUACAGUGAUGGAAAGAUGAAAAGAACUUUGAAAAGAGAGUGAAAAAGUACGUGAAAUUGUUGAAAGGGAAGGGCUUGAGAUCAGACUUGGUAUUUUGUAUGUUACUUCUUCGGGGGUGGCCUCUACAGUUUAUCGGGCCAGCAUCAGUUUGGGCGGUAGGAGAAUUGCGUUGGAAUGUGGCACGGCUUCGGUUGUGUGUUAUAGCCUUCGUCGAUACUGCCAGCCUAGACUGAGGACUGCGGUUUAUACCUAGGAUGUUGGCAUAAUGAUCUUAAGUCGCCCGUCUUGAACA
RNAcentral lists this ribosomal RNA (579 nucleotides) under Candida tropicalis. RNAcentral describes it as "eukaryotic LSU rRNA". It matches the Rfam family "Eukaryotic large subunit ribosomal RNA", at positions 66 to 661 of the family's 3401-position model. Lineage: Eukaryota; Fungi; Ascomycota; Pichiomycetes; Serinales; Debaryomycetaceae. The record is from RNAcentral.